This 270-nucleotide long non-coding RNA is filed under the name Glycine max (soybean). RNAcentral describes it as "long non-coding RNA (GMAX_LNC002747)". Lineage: Eukaryota; Viridiplantae; Streptophyta; Magnoliopsida; Fabales; Fabaceae. The record is from RNAcentral.
UUCGAAGUCGCAGCCGUCGAGCAAGAUGGUUUCUUUCGGGGGACGGUUGGACCAGUUAGGGUUGGGGUCGUUGAGGGAGGAGGUGGUGGCGCGUGUGGAGAGGGCGCGGAGGGAGGGGGCGUUUGGGAGGAGGACGCGGCGGAGGGAGGGGUUGGCUGCAACGGAGAUACGGCGGAGGAAGGAGAGCGCGGGGAGGGAAGGACGAGAGGGGGCGGUGGUGAGGGAGCGGAAGAGGAAGGGGGCUAGGGUUAGGGUUUUGGGGAAGAUGCG